This 776-nucleotide ribosomal RNA is filed under the name uncultured bacterium. RNAcentral describes it as "bacterial SSU rRNA". It matches the Rfam family "Bacterial small subunit ribosomal RNA", at positions 1 to 744 of the family's 1533-position model. The record is from RNAcentral.
AUCAGCCGGUACUCGCGAAUGCACCUCAGGAUUAAGUUUGAUCAUGGCUCAGAUCGAACGCUNUACGGCAGGCCUAACACAUGCAAGUCGAAGCGGAUGAUGGGAGCUUGCUCCCGGAUUCAGCGGCGGACGGGUGAGUAAUGCCUAGGAAUCUGCCUGGUAGUGGGGGACAACGUUUCGAAAGGAACGCUAAUACCGCAUACGUCCUACGGGAGAAAGCAGGGGACCUUCGGGCCUUGCGCUAUCAGAUGAGCCUAGGUCGGAUUAGCUAGUUGGUGGGGUAAAGGCCUACCAAGGCGACGAUCCGUAACUGGUCUGAGAGGAUGAUCAGUCACACUGGAACUGAGACACGGUCCAGACUCCUACGGGAGGCAGCAGUGGGGAAUAUUGGACAAUGGGCGAAAGCCUGAUCCAGCCAUGCCGCGUGUGUGAAGAAGGUCUUCGGAUUGUAAAGCACUUUAAGUUGGGAGGAAGGGCAGUAAGUUAAUACCUUGCUGUUUUGACGUUACCAACAGAAUAAGCACCGGCUAACUUCGUGCCAGCAGCCGCGGUAUACGAAGGGUGCAAGGCGUUAACAUCGGAAUUACUGGGCGUAAAGCGCGCAUAGGUGGUCNUGGUCAAGAUGGAUGUGAACAUCCCCGGGGCUCAACCUGGGAACUGCAUCAUAACUGCUGACUAGAGUACGGUAGAAGGGUUGGUGGAAUUUCCUGUGUAGGCGGUGAAAUGCGUACAUUUGGAAGGACACCAGUUGCNAAGCGAACACUGNAUGAUCUGAC